This 122-nucleotide small RNA is filed under the name Marmota monax (woodchuck). Lineage: Eukaryota; Metazoa; Chordata; Mammalia; Rodentia; Sciuridae. The record is from RNAcentral.
GGGUGUGGUGGUGCAUGCCUGUAACCCCAGCAGCUUGGGAAACUGAGACAGGAGAAUUUCGAGUUCAAAGUCAGCCUCAGCAACAGUGAGGCACUAAGCAACUCAGUGAGACCCUGUCUCUA